CAGAGAAUAGUUUAUUAAAAAUAAUAAUUUUGGAUAUUAUAGAUAAAGAAUUUCUUUUUCUCUGA
RNAcentral lists this transfer RNA (65 nucleotides) under Nymphes myrmeleonoides. Its description in RNAcentral is "tRNA-Pro". The record is from RNAcentral. Lineage: Eukaryota; Metazoa; Arthropoda; Insecta; Neuroptera; Nymphidae.